RNAcentral lists this long non-coding RNA (410 nucleotides) under Nicotiana tabacum (common tobacco). RNAcentral describes it as "long non-coding RNA (NTAB_LNC000243)". Lineage: Eukaryota; Viridiplantae; Streptophyta; Magnoliopsida; Solanales; Solanaceae. The record is from RNAcentral.
GAAGAGAUUGUUUUGCAAAUGCCAUUCGUUUUCCAAGCUAUAAAUAGGAGAAUUCGACCAUAUCUUGCAACGACUUGAGUUGGCUUUGACGUGUAUAGGCUCAUAUCUCAAAGCUAGGGUAAGCUCAAAGCACUCCUUCACUACCAAUAUGGUUGUUCUAAUGAGUGCCAGCAAGAAGAAGGUAUCAAUUGGUUGCUCCAAGUUUUUGGCUACGGAAGCUAAGUUGGGAUCGACUAUAUGUAUCUAUAGAGGAUGUGAAGGCGAUGACGAUGACGAUGAUGAUGAUGCUUCAAAGGUGGCACCAGCUGCAUGAUAUUGUAAUGGUAUUUCCUACAACAACACAUAGUAAUACAUAUAGCUAGGUUCCCAUGUUUCUUUGCUGCAGAUGUUGCUCUAAAGCCAAUUAACAA